This 1602-nucleotide long non-coding RNA is filed under the name Malus domestica (apple). RNAcentral describes it as "long non-coding RNA (MDOM_LNC001793)". The record is from RNAcentral. Lineage: Eukaryota; Viridiplantae; Streptophyta; Magnoliopsida; Rosales; Rosaceae.
CGAGGAAUAUAACGACAAAGAAAUAUGAGAACAUCUGAUCAUCCACUAUCCAAAUGUGUUCUCGCCACUGUAUGUAACAUACAGAAAUCCAUCUGCAUCCUUCUUUUCAUCAUAUAUGGUAGACAUUAUUGCUCCUGCAAAAAAUGAAAUAUGGUCUUCAUAAUCUUCGAGGAAAUGUAGACACGAUGUCAUAACUUCUACAAAUCUGAAUAUUACUGAACAUCUUUCCAGUUGACUUUCCAGGAAUACGACACUUUACCGUGACCAUAAUCCUUGAUUGGUCAUGAAUUAAACUAUUUUCUUUUGACUUCAACCAGGAAUUGGAUUAUUUACCACGAUCAGAUUUCCUCUUCCAAAUCCAAAUAUUGUAAAAAAAGUUUAUAUCCGAGAAUCUUAUGAUAUAUUCCAACUAAGCUUUGAUUCUUAGAAAGAAUUAAGUACAGCCUGCUCAUUGUUUGACACGAAAAUGAAUACCACGGUGUCAUUUCUGCACAUUUUUUUCUUCGAAAAUCUCCAUGGAUAUUGCAAAAGUUCAAUCAUAUCCAAGAAUCUGUGUUGGACAUUUUUCCAGUUAAAGUUUGACUUCAAUAUGGCAUUAACUAUUUACCAAGGUAAAACUACGUUAUCAUAUUUAACACAUACCCUAAAAUUAACCAUCAAAUCAGAAGGGGGGAGACAGAGAGAAGUUUCACUAGAUACCUGUAGCUGGGAGGACAUUGUCUACGAAUAUGAAGAUUGCCUUUUCUGCACUCAGUUUAAUUCUCUUACGGAUGACAUAGACAAACUGACCCACAGUCAAAUCAGCUGGAACCAGGUAUCUGUUAUGUAGCAAAUCAAGUCGUUAAUAUAUAGAACUACAUCAGCAGUAAGUACCGGAUCAAACAGCAUCCUGUUCAUUCACAAAUUAUAAUACAAUACAACAAUUGAGCCCGCAUUGAAUCUAAAGAAAAAAUCAGAAAGGACGGAGAUACAGUCCAUGACUGCCAGGCCUAGUGAUAACUCUUCCUCCUUUAAGAACAAGGGAGGAUGGAGAUUUUGGGUUUAACAUCCAGUGGGCGGGUGUGUGGCUUACUCAAAAGGGGAAAACCUUAUAUGUUUCCAAAGUAAUAAAUUUAUACUGAUGACAAUAGAGCUGCAGCUUACUCACAAAAGUGAUUACAUAAGAGGAAGUAAUGUGAAACUGGUGCUUACUUUUUCCUGUCAAUGUUGGGAAUAUCACUUCUCUCUGCCUUUUCCACAAUCACCUUCAAAUCAGAAAAGAAAUAAUUAACAGAAGCAACGAUUCGGAUACCACGAGUGCAUUGUAUUAUGAUGCAAUUGAACCACUAUUUAGAAGAGAUCAAGAAGCACCAUCUGAAUAAUCAUGUGUGUGUGUGUGUGCUGGAGGUUAUGUUACUGAUCUAAGUAUCUAAGUCCAUGAUGGUUCCAUGGUUUUCAAUGAUAAUCAUGAUUCAGCCAUUCCCUUUGAUAUACCAAAUAAACAUACAAUGCAUCUAGCAUACGCAUGAAAAAGAAUAUAGAUACAGUGAAUUCGUGGUUGUUGCUCACAGUCACAAUUGCCAUUGGAUGACUAUUAAGCAUCUACUCUCCAACAUUCCAUGA